CACGCACGCUGGCGGCAUGCCUAACACAUGCAAGUCGAACGAGACCUUCGGGUCUAGUGGCGCACGGGUGCGUAACGCGUGGGAACCUGCCCUUAGGUUCGGAAUAACUCCCCGAAAGGGGUGCUAAUACCGGAUAAUGUCUUCGGACCAAAGAUUUAUCGCCUUUGGAUGGGCCCGCGUUGGAUUAGCUAGUUGGUAGGGUAAAAGCCUACCAAGGCGACGAUCCAUAGCUGGUCUGAGAGGAUGAUCAGCCACACUGGGACUGAGACACGGCCCAGACUCCUACGGGAGGCAGCAGUGGGGAAUAUUGGACAAUGGGCGAAAGCCUGAUCCAGCAAUGCCGCGUGAGUGAUGAAGGCCUUAGGGUUGUAAAGCUCUUUUACCCGGGAUGAUAAUGACAGUACCGGGAGAAUAAGCACCGGCUAACUCCGUG
RNAcentral lists this ribosomal RNA (433 nucleotides) under uncultured bacterium. RNAcentral describes it as "partial 16S ribosomal RNA". It matches the Rfam family "Bacterial small subunit ribosomal RNA", at positions 29 to 507 of the family's 1533-position model. The record is from RNAcentral.